GCGCCAAUAGUAUAGUGGUAAAACACCCACCUCCCAUACUCAUGAGGAAUAAGUGGGAGUCUCGAGUUCGAACCUCGAUUGGCGCA
Transfer RNA from Aspergillus rambellii, 86 nucleotides. It matches the Rfam family "tRNA". Rfam says of the family: Transfer RNA (tRNA) molecules are approximately 80 nucleotides in length. Their secondary structure includes four short double-helical elements and three loops (D, anti-codon, and T loops). NCBI's taxonomy places the organism in Eukaryota, Fungi, Ascomycota, Eurotiomycetes, Eurotiales, Aspergillaceae. The record is from Rfam.